GAUGAAGAACGUAGCGAAAUGCGAUAAGUAAUGUGAAUUGCAGAAUUCAGUGAAUCAUCGAAUCUUUGAACGCACAUUGCGCCCGUCAGUAUUCUGGCGGGCAGGCCUGUUCGAGCGUCAUUACGCCCCUCAAGUCCCCUGUGGACUUGGUGUUGGGGAUCGGCGAGGCUGGUUUUCCAGCACAGCCGUCCCUUAAAUUAAUUGGCGGUCUCGCCGUGGCCCUCCUCUGCGCAGUAGUAAAACACUCGCAACAGGAGCCCGGCGCGGUCCACUGCCGUAAAACCCCCCAACUUUUUAUAGUUGACCUCGAAUCAGGUAGGACUACCCGCUGAACUUAAGCAUAUCAAUAAGCGGAGGA
Molecule: unclassified non-coding RNA, 358 nt
Filed under: soil metagenome
Description: partial contains 5.8S ribosomal RNA, internal transcribed spacer 2, and large subunit ribosomal RNA
Rfam family: 5.8S ribosomal RNA (bases 1-120)
Source: RNAcentral